Molecule: small RNA, 159 nt
Filed under: pig gut metagenome
Description: Clostridiales-1 RNA
Rfam family: Clostridiales-1 RNA
Source: RNAcentral
ACAGGGUCAAAAGUCAGAACUCGUUUCUGCUUGCAGAAUAAGAGCUCUGACUUAAUGACCCGUACACAUAUGAGCAAGGAGUGAUUUGCUUUAGAAAAUCAACGGAUUGCGAAUGUGUGUGUAGAAUUGCGAGAGUUGUAUUGCAACGGAGCAAUUCUU